UCGCUUUCAGGUAAGAAUGUACAAGUCAGAAGAAAUCAUACUAAAAAACAUGAAUGUAAAACGAUAAAUGUGCAGAUUAUAAAUCAAUAAAAUGUUUACUGCAACAACGGAAUUUAAUGUUUCGUACGUUAUAAAUGAAGAUGCACUUCGCAUGCUAUAUGCAAGCGGUUAAAGCAUGCAUGAAAUAAAUUACAAAACAAUGAAAAUUUAUGAUAAUAAAUAUAAAACUUAUAAGAGUUCACUGUAUCGAAGAACAGAGACACGGGCAAUCAAUAUAAAUCCGUAUCUCAUCUUUAAAAAAAUCAGAAGUGCAAGUUCUUUUAUUCAAGCAAGCAAGGCUUCGUAUAUUACAUCCGAGGUCAGGAUAUGAUUAUCAGGGACAUUGUUA
RNAcentral lists this unclassified non-coding RNA (388 nucleotides) under Bombus terrestris (buff-tailed bumblebee). RNAcentral describes it as "misc RNA ENSBTSG00005030752.1". Lineage: Eukaryota; Metazoa; Arthropoda; Insecta; Hymenoptera; Apidae. The record is from RNAcentral.